AUUCCCUCAUUUUUCACAGAAACUCCAGCCAUUGCUGCUCUACUGUUUUUUCUACAAAUGUCCCUGUGUUGCCCUUAAGGCAUUUGUUUAGCUUUCUUACAUUUUCACUUUAGUAAUUCAUUUGUAAUUAUUUUCUAGCUAAAGUUAAGGUUGUUGAAAGUAAAUUCGUUGUCUGUGAUUUAUCGCGGCAUUCAAUGACGUCACACCCAGUUUCGCCGCCUCUUGUGGGAAAAUACUGGUUUGGAGAAACGGGAAGGAGGGGGCUUGUGUGUGCAGGAUCAGCGUGAGAAAAGUUUUCAUUCUACGCACUAAGAAACAUCAUAGAAGCAAUGCAGUCCUCCUAAAGCAGAAGGAUUAUUAGCAAUCAACCCAGAAUCAAUAUAACAAAAUAGCUCAUUCCUACCAGCAGAAGAUGAUUUGCCUUUUUAUAAAAAGCAAUAACAUGAUGCAAAGAGUAUGGUGCAUUCACAUUAAUCACUCAUAACAUCAGACAUGUCUGUACCGAUACCAUAAGGAAAGGAAUCACAAUCAAGCUUCAAUGGACAAUGUGAACAUGAUGUCUGGCCAAUUCUUUCACCAGAUUUUAGGGAAGAUGUCAAAGCCUUAGAAAAAAAUCUGAAGAGAUUUACAAGAAUGUUUCCAGGGAUGAAGGAAUUGAAAGAACAUGGAAAUUCUUCAGAAAUAGGAGUUGUUGUCCUUUUUGACCAGAUAAGAUUAAGGGGAGAUUUGAUGGAAGUGUUUAAGAUCAUGAAGGAUUUUGACAGAAUGAACAAGAGAAACUGUUCCCCUGGUAGCAGACUGGUAACCAGAAAAUACCAGUGGAAGAUAAUUGACAAAAGAACCUGAAAUGCAAGAGAGAAAUUUUUAUUUUAUUUUUACAUUCAUAACAAUUUAUAACACUUUGCCUGGAAGUCUAAAGGAAGUAAAUUCAGUAGCAGCUUUAGAAAACAAACUGGAUAAAUACUAAUGAAGAGGAAUGGUGCAGAGCUGGAGGAAAGAACAAGAUUGUGGAACUAAUUGGAUAACUCUUGCAAGUGGCUGACACAGGCACAAUAGGCCAAGUGGUGUCAUCUGCAACACAUUAUUUUGUGGUCCUUUGAUUCUAACUCAGUAUACUGUAAUUAUGUAAGUAUUUUAAAAGAAAAUAAUAAAUAAAGAUUAUGGA
Long non-coding RNA from Hypanus sabinus (Atlantic stingray), 1165 nucleotides. RefSeq lists it as uncharacterized. The record is from RefSeq and is a predicted model, not a curated record. The transcript has 4 exons. NCBI's taxonomy places the organism in Eukaryota, Metazoa, Chordata, Chondrichthyes, Myliobatiformes, Dasyatidae.